UGGAAGUAAAAAAUCGUAACAAGGUUUCCGUAGGUGAACCUGC
This 43-nucleotide ribosomal RNA is filed under the name Nothophoma quercina. RNAcentral describes it as "partial 18S ribosomal RNA". Lineage: Eukaryota; Fungi; Ascomycota; Dothideomycetes; Pleosporales; Didymellaceae. The record is from RNAcentral.